RNAcentral lists this transfer RNA (81 nucleotides) under Paragonimus westermani. Its description in RNAcentral is "tRNA-Asn". The record is from RNAcentral. Lineage: Eukaryota; Metazoa; Platyhelminthes; Trematoda; Plagiorchiida; Troglotrematidae.
GGUUUCGUAGCUCAGGUGGUAGAGCGCUUGCGGUGUUAAGGCACGCUGUUUCUGUCGCUGAUUCGAAUUCAGCCGAAGCCC